GUAGGAGAACGCUGGCGGCGUGCUUAACACAUGCAAGUCGAACGAUGAUCUCCAGCUUGCUGGGGGGAUUAGUGGCGAACGGGUGAGUAACACGUGAGUAACCUGCCCUUGACUCUGGGAUAAGCCUGGGAAACUGGGUCUAAUACCGGAUACGACCGUCCCGCGCAUGCGGUGGUGGUGGAAAGCUUUUGCGGUUUUGGAUGGACUCGCGGCCUAUCAGCUUGUUGGUGGGGUAAUGGCCUACCAAGGCGACGACGGGUAGCCGGCCUGAGAGGGUGACCGGCCACACUGGGACUGAGACACGGCCCAGACUCCUACGGGAGGCAGCAGUGGGGAAUAUUGCACAAUGGGCGAAAGCCUGAUGCAGCGACGCCGCGUGAGGGAUGACGGCCUUCGGGUUGUAAACCUCUUUCAGUAGGGAAGAAGCGAAAGUGACGGUACCUGCAGAAGAAGCGCCGGCUAACUACGUGCCAGCAGCCGCGGUAAUACGUAGGGCGCAAGCGUUAUCCGGAAUUAUUGGGCGUAAAGAGCUCGUAGGCGGUUUGUCGCGUCUGCUGUGAAAGACCGGGGCUCAACUCCGGUUCUGCAGUGGGUACGGGCAGACUAGAGUGAUGUAGGGGAGACUGGAAUUCCUGGUGUAGCGGUGAAAUGCGCAGAUAUCAGGAGGAACACCGAUGGCGAAGGCAGGUCUCUGGGCAUUAACUGACGCUGAGGAGCGAAAGCAUGGGGAGCGAACAGGAUUAGAUACCCUGGUAGUCCAUGCCGUAAACGUUGGGCACUAGGUGUGGGGGACAUUCCACGUUUUCCGCGCCGUAGCUAACGCAUUAAGUGCCCCGCC
RNAcentral lists this ribosomal RNA (838 nucleotides) under Arthrobacter sp. Its description in RNAcentral is "bacterial SSU rRNA". It matches the Rfam family "Bacterial small subunit ribosomal RNA", at positions 24 to 873 of the family's 1533-position model. The record is from RNAcentral. Lineage: Bacteria; Bacillati; Actinomycetota; Actinomycetes; Micrococcales; Micrococcaceae.